This 480-nucleotide ribosomal RNA is filed under the name Actinomyces naeslundii. RNAcentral's name for it is "bacterial SSU rRNA". It matches the Rfam family "Bacterial small subunit ribosomal RNA", at positions 28 to 485 of the family's 1533-position model. Lineage: Bacteria; Bacillati; Actinomycetota; Actinomycetes; Actinomycetales; Actinomycetaceae. The record is from RNAcentral.
GACGAACGCGGCGGCGUGCUUAACACAUGCAAGUCGAACGGUGAAGGGGCCUGCUUUUGUGGGUCCUGGAUGAGUGGCGAACGGGUGAGUAACACGUGAGUAACCUGCCCCCUUCUUCUGGAUAACCGCAUGAAAGUGUGGCUAAUACGGGAUAUUCUGGGUCUGUCGCAUGGUGGGCCUGGGAAAGAUUGCGCUUUUUUGGUGUUUUUGGUGGGGGAUGGGCUCGCGGCCUAUCAGCUUGUUGGUGGGGUGAUGGCCUACCAAGGCGGUGACGGGUAGCCGGCCUGAGAGGGUGGACGGUCACACUGGGACUGAGACACGGCCCAGACUCCUACGGGAGGCAGCAGUGGGGAAUAUUGCACAAUGGGCGCAAGCCUGAUGCAGCGACGCCGCGUGAGGGAUGGAGGCCUUCGGGUUGUGAACCUCUUUCGCCAGUGAAGCAGGCCUGCCUCGUUUGUGGGUGGGUGACGUAGCUGAUAA